This 89-nucleotide transfer RNA is filed under the name Nitriliruptor sp. Its description in RNAcentral is "tRNA-Ser". It matches the Rfam family "tRNA". From Rfam's summary of the family: Transfer RNA (tRNA) molecules are approximately 80 nucleotides in length. Lineage: Bacteria; Bacillati; Actinomycetota; Nitriliruptoria; Nitriliruptorales; Nitriliruptoraceae. The record is from RNAcentral.
GGAGGGUUCGCCUAGUCCGGUUUAUGGCGCACGGCUGGAAUCCGUGUAGGCCCGCAAGGGUCUCGGGGGUUCGAAUCCCCCACCCUCCG